Molecule: long non-coding RNA, 1132 nt
Organism: Acinonyx jubatus (cheetah)
Lineage: Eukaryota; Metazoa; Chordata; Mammalia; Carnivora; Felidae
Exons: 2
Source: RefSeq, a predicted model, not a curated record
CGUUUUUCUCAUGACUGGCUCCUUCUCAUCAUUCAGGAUCACCUUAUCUGCUCCCUCAGGGACACAUUCCCUGGCCAUCUUACUACUUAAUUUCCUUUAUCACAGAAAAUUGGCUAUUUUACCUGUUCACUUAUAUGUCUUCAUGUUAUUUUCUCCUCCCCUUUCCCUUUAGAAUACAGGUCCCCUGAGGUUAAGGCAGCGGUUGGCAAAUUAUGGCCCACAAGCCGAAUCUGGACUGCCGCCUGUUUUUGUGCGGCCCACAAGCUAAGAAUAAUUUUUACAUUACCAAAUGGUUUAAAACAAAAAGAGAAUAUGUUUUAUAGCAUGUGAAGUUUAUAUGAAAUUCAAAUUUUAGUGUCCAUCAAUAAAGUUUUAUUGGAACACAGUGAUGGUCAUUUAUUUAUGUAUUGUUCAUGGCUGCUUUCAAACUACAGUAGUGCAAGUGAGUAUGCAGCCCAGACCAUAAGUGAUGCUGUGGUCACUUUGCACUACUUAGCACACUACAAAUCACAAUGACACAAUUCUAGGAAAAUACAGUUACAACUUGACAGCAUUUCAGAUGCCACAAUACUACUCUACUGCACUUUUUAAGAAAAAUAUAUACCCAUCAUGUCAAAACAAGAAAAGAAGAGAAAAAUGGCUGUCAGCGUGACAUUUUUUACGACAUAGCAGAGUGUGGAUUAUCUUGCUAUUGAAUUAGAUGGCAAAACAUUGUGAUUAUUAUACAGUGACAGUAUACCUAUGCUGAAAGAAUGCACUGUAUAUGGACAUUACUGAACUAAGUACUCAUAACAGAAUUUCCAACUCACAAGAAAACAAUGGCCUGAGGUCUUCCAGGAAGAAGGCAAGAGGAGUCAGACAGCAAUGUUACCACAGAAGGAGAGGGACAAAGAAAUUUGACGAUGCUACCCCAAUAACUAAGUAUAGAGGAAAGGGGCCAUCAACUAAAGACUGUAGGUGAUCCCCAGACACUGGAAAAGUCAAGGAAAUGGAUUGUCCACCACAGAGACUCCAGGAAAAAAAACAAAAAACAAAAAAAACAGCAUUUGUUAACAUCCUGACUUUAGCCUAAUAAAACUGAUUUUGCACAUCCCCAGCUAUUAGAAUAAAUUUUGCUUUUUUAAGCCAUUAA